ACAACAAUGACUUUUAUUUUAUUUGUCUGUUAAAAUUUCCACUCUAUUCUUGAGAUAAAUCUUUGAACAGGGUAUUCAGUGUAAUGUUUUAAAGAGCAUUUGUAAAUUUUACAGCUGGACAUUCGAUCAAAUGGAAUCAUAUAAUUCUCAGGAAGUUAUGCCAUUUCAAUGUUUGUGAUUCCAAAUUGUGAGACGCGUCAGGGCGGCUGGACAUUCAGUCAAAUGGAAUCAUAUAAUUCUCAGGAAGUCAUGCCAUUUCAGUAUUUGUGAUUGCAAACUGUGAGACGUGUCAGGGCGGGUUACUGUUACGUUAUGGUUAAAGUGUAGUCUGAUCUUAUUUCCGUUAUAUCGAGAAACAAAAAUUGCAACGAUAAUCGGGAAAUGUUAAAUCUAAACUAUA
Molecule: long non-coding RNA, 400 nt
Organism: Dendronephthya gigantea
Lineage: Eukaryota; Metazoa; Cnidaria; Anthozoa; Malacalcyonacea; Nephtheidae
Exons: 3
Source: RefSeq, a predicted model, not a curated record